GACGAACGCUGGCGGCGUGCUUAACACAUGCAAGUCGAACGGAAAGGCCCUGCUUUUGUGGGGUGCUCGAGUGGCGAACGGGUGAGUAACACGUGAGUAACCUGCCCUUGACUUUGGGAUAACUUCAGGAAACUGGGGCUAAUACCGGAUAGGAGCUCCUGCUGCAUGGUGGGGGUUGGAAAGUUUCGGCGGUUGGGGAUGGACUCGCGGCUUAUCAGCUUGUUGGUGGGGUAGUGGCUUACCAAGGCUUUGACGGGUAGCCGGCCUGAGAGGGUGACCGGAACGUGUGUGAGAGAGGCGCCUGCCAGCAGCGGGGGGGAGGAGGCGGUGGGGGAGGAGGGGGGCGGGGCGGGAGGCUGAGGCGGCGACGCCGGGUGGGGGUGUGCGGCCGUCGGGUUGUACACGGCGUGCGGCGGUGACGGGGGGGAGGGGAGGGUGAGGAGUAAAGAAGAACCGGAUAACUACGUGACAGCAGCAGUGGUAAGAGGCGGAGGGGCACCCUUGGGACC
RNAcentral lists this ribosomal RNA (509 nucleotides) under uncultured bacterium. Its description in RNAcentral is "partial 16S ribosomal RNA". The stretch from base 20 to 318 matches the Rfam family "Bacterial small subunit ribosomal RNA", at positions 47 to 358 of the family's 1533-position model. The record is from RNAcentral.